AAAAAUAUAAUACUAAAACAUUGCUCUCCUCUCUCACAAUCUCACCAAUUUUGAAACAUCAUAUUACACAUCUACUCUUGUCACUCAGCAACCACUUACGUUUUGUCACGUGAGUUGCGAUGUCAACUUCGGGGGUGUGUGUAGGGACGCGCGCGCCGGGUAGUGAAGAACAAGAUCAGAGAGGUGAGUGUGAUGGUAUGGAGGGAGGGGAGAUUGGUGGAGUAGGAGCGCAGGGAAGGAGAUCGGAGAGGUGAAUGUGAUGACACGGUGGGGAUGGUGGUCCGGUGGUAGGCGGUGGCGCGGAAGAGACGAGAGAGUGACAAGUAAAUUAGGUUGAGUUUAUAUGUUUGCUAUACACACAAAUGGGUUUUGAGUAGGGGUGAUAUAAACCGGAUAUCCGGUUUUUCGUAUCACUAGAUUUGUAUUCCGAUUCGGUUCUGGUUUAAUCGGAUAUCCGGAUAUUCGUAUCCUUUUAAUCGAAUCGGAAAACGGAUUAUUCAGAUUUUUUUUAAAAAAAAAUAUGUAUUAUUUUCUAAUUCAACGAGUUUGUAACAUAUAAUACUAUUCUAACAUAUAUUUUAAGUUUUCUAAGAUAAAAAAGUAUAUAUGUAUUAUUUUGCAGAGUAUAUGGACAUUUACAGUGAUGAAGAAGACCCAGUAGCCUUUGGUCCUGCUUCUGUUCAUCCCAAUAACAUUAUCUAUGGGGGAUAUGCGUUUCAUGUGGACUACUAUGCUGUAGACAAUGAAGGGAUGGACACUCCUGUGGUGAUGCCGGUGUACGAAGCUGAAGUGGAGGAUUAUGUCUUGGGUGCUGGUUUUUAGUCUGCUUAUCUAGCUCUCUUAGUUGGCUAGCAGUUAUGUAGCUUUAGUUAUGUAGUUUUAGUUUCUAUCUUUAGGUUCUUUGUCUCUGUCUCUUAGCAGUAUUUCGGUUGGGUCUUCCUAGUUCUAUGUUGUCUUCCAGCUUCUCUUGUACUUUUGUCUUAUUAUCAAUGAAUGGCGUUUAAAAA
RNAcentral lists this long non-coding RNA (1007 nucleotides) under Daucus carota (carrot). RNAcentral's name for it is "long non-coding RNA (DCAR_LNC004856)". Lineage: Eukaryota; Viridiplantae; Streptophyta; Magnoliopsida; Apiales; Apiaceae. The record is from RNAcentral.